Molecule: long non-coding RNA, 3548 nt
Filed under: Homo sapiens (human)
Lineage: Eukaryota; Metazoa; Chordata; Mammalia; Primates; Hominidae
Description: non-protein coding lnc-C6orf201-15:2
Source: RNAcentral
UUGAGUCUUUGCUUUGUUUUUUAUUAGCUGUGUGACCUUCAACCAGUGCCUUACACACUGGGACUGUGGCAGAGACAGCUUGUUCAUCCUCAAAUCAUUUCCUUUUCCACUGGGCACAGGGGAGAAGCCAGGAGCCGCCCCAGGACUGACUCUGGCCAAUGGGAUGUCCAUGGGAGGCACGUCUGCUGCACCCAGACCUGGCCAUUGACAUGUCCACGUGCUCCUUGACUCUGGCUCUUCCCCUACCUGCUAGAGAAGGUGCUGAUGGCUAGAGAAGGGCAGAGCCACAGACGGAAGGGGCCUGGGGCCUGCGUGGUGGCGGGCGCCUGUAGCCCCAGCUACUCAGGAGGCUGAGGCAGGAGAAUGGCGUGAACCCGGGAGGCAGAGCUUGCAGUGAACUGAGAUCGCGCCACUGCAUUCCAGCCUGGGCGACAAAGUGAGACUCCGUCUCAAAAAAAAAAAAAAGAAAUUCUACAAGUCCUCAUCACCAAUCUGGUUAAUCAACACGGUUGCACCUGCUGGCAGCCCACUAGAUCCAUGGUAUCCUUGCUCCUAGUCAACGCUAGGUGAGGCUCCCCAGCCAGAAGGAGGCCUGAAUCCACAAGCCAUUCCUGAAGCCCCAUGAUGGACCCUGUUCAUGUCCAAGCAGACACCAUUCCUCCCACUUUUGCUUCUCUGCAUGGGAUGCUGCAGUGCAGGAGGUCAAUUAACUCUUCCAGCUCAUCCCUGGUGGCACAUUUGGUGUUCUGUUACAUUUCUUCUAUUUUGCUACCUGGAAUUUCCCUCCCAAAUGAUUCCUUUUUUUCUGAUAACAAAGGAUUACAUGCCUAUUGUGGAAAUUUUGAAAAGAAAAUUUUAUUGUGAAAGAGUAAAAAAUGCACCCACUAAAGGUGAUCAUUAACAGUAUUAUGGCAUAUUUCUUCCUGUAUUUCUUUCUUCUUUCUUUCUUUUUUAAAAUAUCUCACCUCUGGCUGAAUCCUCAUAUUCCUUUUUUCUUUUUUUGGUGGAGGUUGUUGAAAAUUCUUAUAUUUCUUAAGGUAAGUAUAUAUAUAUUUUUUACCAUAGUCGAGAACACCAUACACAUAUAAUUUGGUAUCUUGCAUUUUAUGUUCUGCUUGUCACGAUCAUAGCAUUUCCCAUAUCACUAAAACCUCUUACAGUCAUGACUUUUCUUAGAGUUCUAUACUAUUCCAUUGUAAGGAUGUACCAUGAUUUUCCCUAUUGUUAGUUAGGUUGUUUCUAGUUUUUCAGUCUUAUAAGGAGUGCUGCAGUGAACAUGUUUGUAAACUGUGGAUUGCUUCCUUUGCAAUUUGAAUUCUUUAAGGCCAUUCAUGUUUUGGAUCUGGGUAACAUGUAGAAACCUAUUACAUUUCUUAGAUACAAUCUGGUUUCCAGAAUAUAGCAGCAUGGGAAGGUCAAAUGUGGGCUACAAGGAGCCCCAGGUUCGAUAGCGGAGAUUCUUGAAGCCCGGACGGAAGUGUUCUUUGCACUAGCUCUAGGUACAGGUGUCUGAACUGCCUGAGCAUAAGAAACGUGAUGGUUCAUUUUAGGUGUCGACUUGCCUAGAUUAUGGGGUACUCAGCUGGCAAAGCAUUAUUUCUUGGUAUGUCUGUGAGGGUGUUUCCAGAAGAGAUUGACAUUUGUCGUUCCUUGUCUUUUUAUGAUUACAUUAUAAGAACUCUUUAUAUAUUCUAAAUACUAGAUGCUUAUCAUAUAUAUGAUUUGCAAGUAUUUUCUCCUAUUCUGUGGGUUGUCUUGUCACUUUCUUGAUAGUGCCCUUUGCCACAAAAAAGUUUUUAAUGUUGAUCAAGUCUAUUUUUUGACUUCAUCUGUAAAAUCCAUAAUUUUGAUGUAUCUUUCUUUUUCUUUUUUUGCUUAACGCUUUUGGUGUCACGUCUAAGAAACCAUUGCUUAAUCCAAGGUCACACAGAUUUACUCCUCUGUUCUACUGUCUUGGUUAGUGUAGAUUUGUCAUACAUUUUGAAAUUGGAAAGUUUGUGUCUUUCAACUUUGUUUUUUUUCAAGACUGUUUUGGCUAUCUUCACCUUGUCUGUAAAUUAUCUUCUUUGUACCAGAUGAGCUCAACUAUAUUUCCUUAUGAGACCUUAACGAUUCCAUUUUACUAGGGUUAUUAGGUGUAGGUACUAUAUGAAUUUCACUAAAAGAUGAAGAAAUCAUUUCUCUGAAUCUGUUUUUUUAUCUUCAUUACGGUGGUGUGAUCCAGGUGACCAAGUGACCUCGUGGGCCUGUGUCUGUAAUAUGACACACUCAUUUUUAAUGACAAAUUAUAGUUACCAAAGCUACACCCUCCCCAGCCUGUUAGCUGCAGUCGUCUGCUCCAUCACAUCACUCCCGUUGACUCUCCUGCACCUGUUCCCCACCUCCACCCACCUUGUUUCUGCAGGGCCACAAGGAGUGCUUGUCAUUGCAUUGCCAAAACCAGGCAAGGUUGUUGUUUUGGGAUUCAUUCAAAGCUCCCUGUCCUAUGGGCACCAGAGCAGGGCUGUUUCUAUGCAGACAAGAAGAAUAGUGCCAUACUCCAGCUGGUGGAAGCCCUUAGAGGGGGGAAACAUAGCAUUCCAUCACCACCUUCUCCCCAUCACCUAGCCUGCUCCUCUCUCCCAGGUCACCACAUAGAAGCUUGGAUUAAUGCAAGCCCACCAAAAGAAAACUGGCAUGGGGCAAGGGGUGGGGGACCGUGUGUGGAUCUUACCAGCAGCAGCUGGUGCCUGCUCUGGGGGCAAACAUGAGGUCUCUGAUGAUUUAAAAUGAUACCUACCCCGGGAGGUGGCGUGAGAUUAACUGAAAUAAUGCAAGGCAAGUCCUGGCACCAAAGACAUUCCCCCCAGGGUUUCAAAAUGUCAAAGAUGAUGAGGUCCCUUCUCUGGUAAAGGGUGCAUUUAUUUCAGCCCAGGUGCUGCACCCAGGCAGUCUGACGAAGCUGUUCCCGCUCCCAAUCUGGCCAGACACGGCUCUGCGUAAUUGCGCUCUGCGGUCCACCUGCUCCCCCGCGGCAGUCCCCCAGCUCCGCAGCAUGGUGUGUUCGCAGAAGUGUGAUAGAUGACUCCGUGUCGGAAUACAGAAGCAGAGGGAGGGCUCUGGGAACAAAGCCCUGAGGAUGAGACGCAGUCCUCAAACUCGACAGUUCACAGUCCGCAGGGGAGCAGACGUGGGAGCAAUAAUACAGCACAUUACCACACAUAUAAUAGUGAAAAAUGUAUGCAAGGUGUGGGGGGAGGGGGUGGAUGGAGCGGGGAGGGGGGUGGAUGGAGCAGGGAGGGGGAACCAGAGUCGGGGGGUUUGGUGCCCUCCCAUAAUCUCCUCAACACCCUUCAAAGCUACCCUAAAUAAGCAUUCUAAGCAUAAAUAGCUAGUUUGCUAUGUGAAAUGUGAACUCCAUGUCAAGACAAAUCUGUACUGUCCUUUUCAAUCCUACAUACUAGCUUGAGCUGACACUCAGGGAGAGGUGUGGGUUGGGGCUUUGGGGACAAAGGACUGAGUAGUUCUGGAACUACAACAGGGGCAGACAAGACCAUAAAGGACUUUGG